Molecule: ribosomal RNA, 447 nt
Filed under: uncultured bacterium
Lineage: Bacteria
Description: bacterial SSU rRNA
Rfam family: Bacterial small subunit ribosomal RNA
Source: RNAcentral
UGGGGAAUAUUGGACAAUGGGCGCAAGCCUGAUCCAGCCAUGCCGCGUGAGUGAAGAAGGCCUUAGGGUUGUAAAACUCUUUCGCCGGGGAAGAUAAUGACGGUACCCGGAGAAGAAGCUCCGGCUAACUUCGUGCCAGCAGCCGCGGUAAUACGAAGGGAGCUAGCGUUGUUCGGAAUUACUGGGCGUAAAGCGCACGUAGGCGGACUUGUCAGUCAGGGGUGAAAUCCCAAGGCUCAACCUUGGAACUGUCUCCGAUACAGCAAGCCUAGAGAUCGGGAGAGGUGAGUGGAAUUCCUAGUGUAGAGGUGAAAUUCGUAGAUAUUAGGAAGAACACCAGUGGCGAAGGCGGCUCACUGGCCCGAUACUGACGCUGAGGUGCGAAAGCGCGGGGAGCAAACAGGAUUAGAUACCCCCGUAGUCCCUGAGCGGGCUGGCAAGGCGCAU